UAGAAAAUAAUGCACAUUUAUGUAGAAAAUUUGCAAAUGUAAACUAUAAAGAAGCUAAAAAAUUGUGCAUAUUCUUAGCAAGCAUUGUUAUUUUAAGCUGAAUUAAUUCUAAAAGAAAUUUUAUUCUUAUUAGUUCCUAUGCAUACAGUCAUUUUAUUGAAAAUAUGAUAAUAUAAACACUAGUUUUAUCCUUAACCAACCAAACCUAUUUACUAUGACCCUAAAAUAUGAUGGGGACCUGUUAAGAUGCCAUCAAACAUCCAGAGGACAUGGAAUAUGUGUCCUGAAUUUUCUGUUUCUGUUUUAACAGUGGAGUUAAUAUUAUUACUUAUCCCAUACCCACCACUGGACUAAAUUCUUUGUAUGGAUCAGCAAUUUAAUACUUAUAACAAGUUUAUAACAAAAGUGCUAUUAUUAGGUUUCCACUUUACAGGUGGAAAAGUUGAGAUGAGAUAUAUUAAGUUAUUUGACCAAGGUUACACACUAGUAAGUGGUAGGUCGGAUUCUGACCAGCUCCUGUGUUCUGAAACCCUAAACAUCCUUCUCCUAAACAUGAAAGUGCUUAGUUUCUUAAAGAGAUAAACGCCUAACCACGUCAGUCAGGACGUAUUUGAGCACAUGAAAGGGCAACAAAGUACAUCCCUUCACUUUGAUUUCAGCAGAAACACAUCCCCUGUAUCAAGCGAUGACAAGCCCCAUGGGGCUGUGCUCAGGCGACAGGCUGGAAAUGCAUGUGUGUGGCAGGCAGGCUUGUGAGAUCACAUCCGAAGGCUGGCUGGACUCAUUUCAGACCUUUGGAGUGUUGAUUUAGACAAGAGGGAGAAGACGCAAACCCUUCUUCUUUGGCUUAGAAGAUUAUGGAUCUGCAACUUCAAAAGCUGUUUGCAAUUUUAUAUUCACAUCUCACUGCCAAGGUGCUUGUCUUAUCUUAAGUCAGUUGGCUGGAGCUGCUCUGAUUUGCUGACAGAACACCCACACCACAUUUGUUGGAGGAUAAAACCAUUUCCAGGAGCCCAGCUUCUCUUCACCCUUUUCCACAGCCACCUCCUCUCUAAAUUGCCUGAACUCACAGCAGAAAGUCACCAGAGGGCAUUCUCAGACCAUCUAUUAUCAAGGGACUCCAGCUGGGAAGUACGAGACUCUUCUCACUUAGAUCUCCUUUUGGAUGAAGAGGCAGUCUCUGACUCUCACUUGGAAACACAUGGAGUCUGAAGGCUGCCUUGCUCAAUAAACCACCACCCCACCCUGGGGUCUCA
Molecule: long non-coding RNA, 1256 nt
Filed under: Sus scrofa (pig)
Lineage: Eukaryota; Metazoa; Chordata; Mammalia; Artiodactyla; Suidae
Description: lncRNA (ENSSSCG00025065805.1)
Source: RNAcentral